This 462-nucleotide ribosomal RNA is filed under the name uncultured cyanobacterium. RNAcentral's name for it is "bacterial SSU rRNA". It matches the Rfam family "Bacterial small subunit ribosomal RNA", at positions 1072 to 1533 of the family's 1533-position model. Lineage: Bacteria; Bacillati; Cyanobacteriota. The record is from RNAcentral.
UUGUUGGGUUAAGUCCCGCAACGAGCGCAACCCUCGUCCUUAGUUGCCAGCAUUCAGUUGGGCACUCUAGGGAGACUGCCGGUGACAAACCGGAGGAAGGUGGGGAUGACGUCAAGUCAUCAUGCCCCUUACGUCCUGGGCUACACACGUACUACAAUGCUGUGGACAAAGAGUUGCCAACCCGCGAGGGCGAGCUAAUCUCUUAAACCACGGCUCAGUUCAGAUUGCAGGCUGCAACUCGCCUGCAUGAAGGCGGAAUCGCUAGUAAUCGCAGGUCAGCAUACUGCGGUGAAUACGUUCCCGGGCCUUGUACACACCGCCCGUCACACCAUGGGAGUUGGCCAUGCCCGAAGUCGUUACUCUAACCCGCAAGGGAGGGGGACGCCUAAGGCAGGGCUGAUGACUGGGGUGAAGUCGUAACAAGGUAGCCGUACCGGAAGGUGUGGCUGGAUCACCUCCUUU